AGACAUCUCUCCUAAAGACAUCUCUCCUAGACAUCUCUCCAAAGACAUCUCUCCUAGACAACUCUCCUAGACAUCUCCCCUAAAGACAUCUUUACAAAAGACAUCUCUCCUCAAGACAUCUCUCCUCAAGACAUCUCUCCUAGACACAUCUCUUCUAGACACAUCUCUCCUAGAGACAUCUCUCCUAGACAUCUCUCCUAGAGACAUCUCUUCUAGACAUCUCUCCUAAAGACAUCUCUCCUAGAGACAUCUCUCCUAGACAUCUCUCCUAGAGACAUCUCUCCUAAAGACAUCUCUCCUAAAGACAGCUCUCCUAGAGACAUCUCUCCUAGACAUCUCUCCUAGAGACAUCUCUCCUAAAGACAUCUCUCCUAGAGACAUCUCUCCUAAAGACAUCUCUCCUAAAGACAGCUCUCCUAGAGACAUCUCUCCUAGACAUCUCUCCUAGACAUCUCUCCUAAAGACAUCUCUCCUAGACAUCUCUCCUAGACAUCUCUCCUAAAUACAUCUCUCCUAGAGACAUCUCUCCUAGACAUCUCUCCUAGACAUCUCUCCUAAAGACAUCUCUCCUAAAGACAUCUCUCCUAGACAUCUCUCCUAAAGACAUCUCUCCUAAAGACAUCUCUCCCAAAGACAUCUCUCCUAGAGACAUCUCUCCUAGAGACAUCUCUCCUAAAGACAUCUCUCCUAAAGACAUCUCUCCUAGAGACAUCUCUCCUAAAGACAUCUCUCCUAGAGACAUCUCUCCUAAAGACAUCUCUCCUAGAGACAUCUCUCCUAAAGACAUAUCUCCUAGAUACCUCUCCUAGAGACAUCUCUCCUAAAGACAUCUCUCCUAGACAUCUCUCCUAAAGACAACUCUCCUAAAGACAUCUCUCCUAAAGACAUAUCUCCUAGAUACCUCUCCUAGAGACAUCUCUCCUAAAGACAUCUCUCCUAGACAUCUCUCCUAAAGACAACUCUCCUAAAGACAUAUCUCCUAGCCAUCUCUCCUAAAGACAUCUCUCCUAGACAACUCUCCUAAAGACAUCUCUCCUAAAGACAUAUCUCCUAGACAUAUCUCUUGAAGACAUCUCUCCUAGACAUCUCUCCUAAAGACAUCUCUCCAAGACAUAUCUCCUAGCCAUCUCUCCUAAAGACAUCUCUCCUAGACAACUCUCCUAAAGACAGGUCUUAUAGCCCCGUUGUAUUGACGCUGGGCUGACGCGUGUUCUAUACCAUCUUAAUGUACAGGUAACAGGGCUAAUUCAGUGAACAGUCAUUAUUGUAUUUAUUCAUGUCUACUCUAUAUGUUGGCCGUAGUGUGAUAAGGACAGCGCUACUCAGAAGGGCCGGACUAACAAAUGACACAUUAACAUCAAAUAAAUAACAUAAAUGUAUUGUUUUAUUUAAGGCCUUCUCCGCUACUUUGUUCACAGUGAAUAAUAUGAUACUCUACCUGUUAUGAUGAAUACAUAAGGGUUAAAAAGAUAGCUGAACGGAGAUGAACACUGUAGCCCGUUUGCAGUCAGAAGAUAACUGAACAGAGAUGAACACUGUAGCCAGUUUGCAGUCAGAAGAUAGCUGAACGGAGAUGAACACUGUAGCCAGUUUGCAGUCAGAAGAUAACUGAACGGAGAUGAACACUGUAGCCAGUUUGCAGUCAGAAGAUAACUGAACGGAGAUGAACACUGUAGCCAGUUUGCAGUCAGAAGAUAACUGAACGGAGAUGAACACUGUAGCCAGUUUGCAGUCAGAAGAUAACUGAACGGAGAUGAACACUGUAGCCAGUUUGCAGUCAGAAGAUAGCUGAACGGAGAUGAACACUGUAGCCCGUUUGCAGUCAGAAGAUAACUGAACGGAGAUGAACACUGUAGCCCGUUUGCAGUCAGAAGAUAGCUGAACGGAGAUGAACACUGUAGCCAGUUUGCAGUCAGAAGAUAGCUGAACGGAGAUGAACACUGUAGCCCGUUUGCAGUCAGAAGAUAGCUGAACGGAGAUGAACACUGUAGCCCGUUUGCAGUCAGAAGAUAGCUGAACGGAGAUGAACACUGUAGCCCGUUUGCAGUCAGAAGAUAGCUGAACGGAGAUGAACACUGUAGCCAGUUUGCAGUCAGAAGAUAACUGAACGGAGAUGAACACUGUAGCCAGUUUGCAGUCAGAAGAUAACUGAACGGAGAUGAACACUGU
Long non-coding RNA from Oncorhynchus tshawytscha (Chinook salmon), 2169 nucleotides. The record is from Ensembl. Lineage: Eukaryota; Metazoa; Chordata; Actinopteri; Salmoniformes; Salmonidae.